Molecule: non-coding RNA, 652 nt
Organism: Schizosaccharomyces pombe (fission yeast)
Lineage: Eukaryota; Fungi; Ascomycota; Schizosaccharomycetes; Schizosaccharomycetales; Schizosaccharomycetaceae
Source: the annotation of a GenBank genome assembly
CUGCAGUAAUGACUUUAUUAUUUAAAUUAUUUAACGUGGUUUAUCGUGGUAUAUAAAAGCUGCAAAAUGGUCAGUAGAAGGCACGAAGGAUCGUAAAUAAAUGACUAUUUAUGAGCAAGCAAAAUACAUACGAAGCUUUUCUUAUUUGAUUAGCAUUCUUUAAUACAUUAUGUAUAAUAUUUUUUACAUAGAAAGGUUGUAUGCCUUGCAUAUUUAUACCUAGCAGAUUCGAAACUGCCAGCUGGUAGACGCAUGUUUUUACGACUUUUUAACAUAAUCGAUGUUUGUUGAAACUAAUUGUUUAUUUAAUUAUUUAAACAGUUAAAGUACAAAAAAACUUCAAGCGCGCCUCCAUUUCUAACAAACUACUACUCAUUAUUGUCAAAGCAAUCUAUUCAAAUGUACCAAACUAUCUGUUAUAAUUACAAGGUUAUGGUGGGAAAAGUAAUCUUGUUGGGAAGAAUUGAUUUUAACAUAAAGUUAGCUAUUGCCGAACGAUAAAUCACAUGUUCGUUUCAACAAAAAUGACAUUUGUUGCAAAGGUAUAAAAAGUUGUGCGAAAUAAGAAAAGACAAAAAACAUGAUCUUAUGACAAGAAAUGUUAAAAAAAAAAAAAAAAAAAAAAAAAAUUGGGAUGGGAUGAAAAGAAAGG